This 237-nucleotide ribosomal RNA is filed under the name uncultured bacterium. Its description in RNAcentral is "partial 16S ribosomal RNA". It matches the Rfam family "Bacterial small subunit ribosomal RNA", at positions 118 to 347 of the family's 1533-position model. The record is from RNAcentral.
UGAGCAAUCUGCCCUUCUCUUCGGAAUAAGCGUUGGAAACGACGUCUAAUGCCGAAUACGACCUCCUUUCGCAUGAUCGGAGGUGGAAAGCUCCGGCGGAGAAGGAUGAGCUCGCGGCCUAUCAGCUAGUUGGUGUGGGUAAUGGCCCACCAAGGCGACGACGGGUAGCCGGCCUGAGAGGGUGACCCGGCCACACUGGGACUGAGACGCGGCCCAGACCUCCGUACGGGAGNAGCG